RNAcentral lists this ribosomal RNA (252 nucleotides) under uncultured bacterium. Its description in RNAcentral is "partial 16S ribosomal RNA". It matches the Rfam family "Bacterial small subunit ribosomal RNA", at positions 524 to 776 of the family's 1533-position model. The record is from RNAcentral.
UACGUAGGGUGCAAGCGUUGUCCGGAUUAUGGUGCGUAAAGCGCACGUAGGCGGUUUGUUAAGUGAGAGGUGAAAUCCCAGAGCUCAACUCUGGAACUGCCUUUCAUACUGGCAAGCUAGAGUCCGGAAGAGGUAAGUGGAACUCCUAGUGUAGAGGUGGAAUUCGUAGAUAUUAGGAAGAACACCAGUGGCGAAGGCGGCUUACUGGUCCGGAACUGACGCUGAGGUGCGAAAGCGUGGGGAGCAAACAGG